RNAcentral lists this unclassified non-coding RNA (237 nucleotides) under Hevea brasiliensis (rubber tree). The record is from RNAcentral. Lineage: Eukaryota; Viridiplantae; Streptophyta; Magnoliopsida; Malpighiales; Euphorbiaceae.
GCAUUCUUCACAGCUUCAUGAUGAGGAGGCUUGAUUUCAUUACUCUGUGAGUAGUGAGGACUGAUCUUCCCCUAUUUAUCAUUAGUAAGUAAAGAUUGCUCAACGAUUACAUCUAGAUGAGAAGAAGAAUAACAACAACCAAGCCUUAAUCUCAAACUAGUUGGAAUCGACUAUACGGAUCAAUUUUCAUCCUUCAACUGUGUUAGUAGACGAGACAAGAAGAACAACACCUCCCAC